This 1390-nucleotide long non-coding RNA is filed under the name Salmo trutta (river trout). RNAcentral describes it as "lncRNA (ENSSTUG00000023259.1)". Lineage: Eukaryota; Metazoa; Chordata; Actinopteri; Salmoniformes; Salmonidae. The record is from RNAcentral.
AGUAAAUAACAAGUAACAACACUAAAGCCAGACUACACCAGCUUUUCACGACCGUAGAGGAAGACAAACAGGGAGUAGUUGGUUGUUGUUAGCUAGCUACUGUGUUGGACAAUCCCGAAUGAAGUCAUCUUCCUUCCUUCGUCGUCCUGUAUUUCAUAGCCCUUCUACUGGCAACAUCUGCCACUGGUCCAUGACUAACUUCCAGUGCCCCCGGUCCAAACUGGCUGUUUCUCUGUGCUCUCUGUCUGCCUUAUUUGUGAAUUAACGUCCUACUUUCCUCCCUGCGUUGGCCCCCUGCUGAGUGGUUUGAUUGAUGGUCCAACAGCCUCAGUGUUUCUCCAGCUGCCUUUAGUCUUAGCAAAGCUGGAUAUAGUCAUCAGCUCCAAGAUGCUCUACACCUGAUCUGUCUGAGUGGGCACGCGAAGAGAGUGACCCUGUAUCCGUAGCGUGUUUGGGUGGAUCCAUCUGAGGGGCACGGUGGAUGAGAUAUGGUACUCUUUGUACCCAAUGACAGGAUGGGUGUGAUGCAGUCCGACUUACUAGAUGUAACAUAAUAUAGUGUGAUAGAUAGACCACAACCACACCCUAUGUGGAGAAGCUGAGCUGAAGUUUACCACAAAUAAAUGUGUCAGAAAGAUGGGUGUAAAGAUUACAAACAUGAUUUAGAUCUAUAAACAGGAACAAUACCAGUGAAAACACCCACCUGCCUGCUCUUAAUGUCAUAAAAGCAAGCUAAAGAUCCAUUUCAGCCAUACCCAUCAAAUAAAUUGUCAAACAAUAACAUCUUUCGUAGAAGCUCAGUCGACUGCAGACUGCCUUAAAAUGUGUCAUAAAAUGGCUUGACGGUGAGCAAACAAAUCACUAUAAAUUACAGUAUAACACUUUAUGUGAAAUGUUAAACAUUUGCACAUUGACUUUGCUCCUACACGCACAAUCACAGCUGAAGCCCAACUAAUGAGGCCAACAGAUACAGUAGCAAAAAAAAAAAGCCUAACAAAAUUCUUAUAUUCUCAGCUGGACAUUCAAAUAUGACCCCGUGACUCACAAAGCUCUAGCAGGCUCUAGACAGCACCCAUAAAACCAGGCUGCGCUGAGCCCUGAAGGACUGCAGUUGUUAGCCACUGACCUGACCUACAAUAUUGACUCCUAGACUCUAUAUAUAGCCCUGACUGGCAGCUUCCUGAGGCUUGUGGUGCAUCAAGGCCCUGAUGACUGCCUUUGCAACUUCAAAGCAGCAGAGCCUACCAUCACCUCAGUGCUAUCCUGAGAUCCUUCUCAAUCGAAUUACUGUACGUCUUAAUAAUGGUCAGAGAGGCAGAUCGCAAUAAAUCUACUUCAAUACAGAAACAGACCUAUUUUAUGCAGCCAUUUCCCUGUGUGCCAAUUUUCU